GACGAACGCUGGCGGCGUGCCUAAUACAUGCAAGUAGAACGCUGAAGAGGGGAGCUUGCUCUUCUUGGAUGAGUUGCGAACGGGUGAGUAACGCGUAGGUAACCUGCCUUGUAGCGGGGGAUAACUAUUGGAAACGAUAGCUAAUACCGCAUAACAAUGGAUGACACAUGUCAUUUAUUUGAAAGGGGCAAUUGCUCCACUACAAGAUGGACCUGCGUUGUAUUAGCUAGUAGGUGAGGUAACGGCUCACCUAGGCGACGAUACAUAGCCGACCUGAGAGGGUGAUCGGCCACACUGGGACUGAGACACGGCCCAGACUCCUACGGGAGGCAGCAGUAGGGAAUCUUCGGCAAUGGGGGCAACCCUGACCGAGCAACGCCGCGUGAGUGAAGAAGGGUUUCGGAUCGUAAAGCUCUGUUGUAAGUCAAGAACGAGUGUGAGAGUGGAAAGUUCACACUGUGACGGUAGCUUACCAGAAAGGGACGGCUAACUACGUG
RNAcentral lists this ribosomal RNA (497 nucleotides) under uncultured bacterium. RNAcentral describes it as "partial 16S ribosomal RNA". It matches the Rfam family "Bacterial small subunit ribosomal RNA", at positions 28 to 507 of the family's 1533-position model. The record is from RNAcentral.